GAACGCUAGCGGCAGGCCUAAUACAUGCAAGCCGAACGGUAACUUGAAUAGCAAUAUUUGAGCUAGAGUGGCGUAAGGGUGCGUAACACGUAUGCAAUCUGCCCGCAACAGGAGAAUAGCUCCCCGAAAGGGGAAUUAAUACUCCAUAAGAUCACACGAGGGCAUCUGAGGGUGAUUAAACUACAAGGGGUUGCGGAUGAGCAUGCGGUUGAUUAGCUAGUUGGUAGUGUAACGGACUACCAAGGCAAUGAUCAAUAGGGGAACUGAGAGGUUUAUCCCCCACACUGGCACUGAGAUACGGGCCAGACUCCUACGGGAGGCAGCAGUAGGGAAUAUUGGACAAUGGGCGAGAGCCUGAUCCAGCCAUGCCGCGUGCAGGAAGAAGGCCUUCUGGGUUGUAAACUGCUUUUGCCAGGGGAUAAAAAGUCCCUGCGGGGAAAAUUGAAGGUACCUGGUGAAUAAGCCACGGCUAACUACGUGCCAGCAGCCGCGGUAAUACGUAGGUGGCAAGCGUUGUCCGGAUUUAUUGGGUUUAAAGGGUGCGUAGGCGGUCUUAUAAGUCAGUGGUGAAAUACGGCAGCUCAACUGUCGAGGUGCCAUUGAUACUGUAGGACUUGAGUACAGACGAGGUAGGCGGAAUUGACGGUGUAGCGGUGAAAUGCUUAGAUAUCGUCAAGAACACCGAUAGCGAAGGCAGCUUACUAGGCUGUAACUGACGCUGAGGCACGAAAGUGUGGGGAUCAAACAGGAUUAGAUACCCUGGUAGUCCACACUGUAAACGAUGAUUACUCGAUGUUGGCGAUACACAGCCAGCGUCUUAGCGAAAGCGAUAAGUAAUCCACCUGGGGAGUACGCCGGCAACGG
RNAcentral lists this ribosomal RNA (864 nucleotides) under uncultured bacterium. Its description in RNAcentral is "bacterial SSU rRNA". It matches the Rfam family "Bacterial small subunit ribosomal RNA", at positions 31 to 894 of the family's 1533-position model. The record is from RNAcentral.